AUCUCUUUAGGCAAUUUACCAGAAAUGUUUACAUAUGAACACUUCCCGCUGGCAACCUGGCUUCCCCCUUCUCCAGGAACAGUGUGCCCUCACCGGGGGCCUGACCAGCAGGGAACCAGAAGCUUGGCUCAGGUAGCUUCCAGACAAACUUGUCCUGCAGAUCUGUCUGGGACUCUGAUGGUCUAGCUUGAAACCCAAUCAAUGGCCGCUUCUCAUCUGAGGCACAAAUCCCACAAUCCUCUUUCCUAAUCUGGAGACCAAGGAGAAGCCCUAAGGAGAGGAGGAGGUGGUCUUUUCUAAAGAGUACUUCCCAGUAUAUAGCUUUAGCUCCAUUUUUCAAAAAUGAGAAAACUGAGGCUCAGAACUGUAAGAGGAUUCAUAACAGAAAGGCUCAUGGACAAAAGGAAGGUGCUCAAAACACACUGUUUCCUUAAAUGUAUUUAAAACACAAAUUGAGAACCAAGGGAAGAGGGCUGGAGUGGACUAACCCACUUAGGAUCAAGUCAAACAGUUUGUGUGGGUCAGGAUUUUGGAAGCAGCUUUUCUGGAUGGUUCUGGUUCCAGGUGUCUCAUGAGGUUGCAAUCAGAAUGUCAGCUGGGGUUGCAAGCAUCUAAAAAUUUAACUGAGAUGGAGGAUCCAUCCAUGUCAAGAUGCAGUCAACAUUGCUGGCAAGUUGGUGCUGGCUGAUAGCAGGAGCCCCCAGUCUAUUACCCCAUGAACUUCUCCACUGAGACGCUGGAGAAACAUCAUGAUGUUGCAGCUGUCUUCACCCAGAACAAGUAUAACCCAAAAAGAAAAUGUCUUUUGUGACCUAGUUUUGGAAGUCAUGCACCUUCCACCAUUUCUGCAACAUUCUAUUGGUUAUACAGGAUAGCCCAGCCCAGCAUGGGAGGGGAUUUAGCAAGGGCCAUGGAGCCAGGAUCGUUGGGGCUAUGUUGGGGGUUGGCUUCCUCAGUGAAAUAUUUAUGAAUUUCAUACAUCCAAUCGUUUGCAUCAUCAUUGAGGCUUACUACUCAAUACGAGCACUAAGAAUAAGGUUCACAGCGCCACCUUGCGGGGACUGAAAAGGAGCUCUGGGUCAACACAGAACAAGAGAAGGAGGUGUGCUUGGCUCUACCAUGAUCUCUUUUCAGGGGCUGCAGCUUGUUGAAACUGCCUUCAUCCCCAGGCUUGGGAAAUAUAACUGAACAGGAUCUAGAAGAGAUCUUUUAAACUCAAGACUUGAGACAUUAUAGUUCUUCUUGCAUCCAGGAAAGCACCAACCCCAUAAAUCCUGACCACCCAUGAUGAUGUUUUCUCACCACUUUUGCUUAUGAUGUUAUCCUGUGUGUUUGUUUUGCUCCCAUUUAUGGUAUUAAAUUUGCUUCUAAUGAGUGACAUAUCUUUUUGUGGGACAUGAGGAAAGAUCAUUAUUGAUUCAUGCCUGAUUUGUUCCAGAGCUGCUGAUGGUAGCCUUUGUCAAAAAAAAAAAAAAAAAGCAAACACAACUGUUUAGCCCAUACUGGUACAGAUGUUCUAUGGCUAGACACACAGAAAGCUUGUAGUCAAGUUGUGCUUGGCUUUGCUAAGGUCUUUCAGGAUUUCUUCUAACUGGUUAAGAAAAUAUAACUAUCUUAUAUAUUAUCUUAAAAGUAUCCUAUGGUUGUUCCAGGCUAUCUCAUGUUAGUGCAUAGCAUUUCUUCAUGUCUUGGCUACCAGGGCUCUUCCCUUGGAUUGAGAAGUCCUCAGUAUCACUAGAUUGGGAUAUGCAUAAAAUUUUCAAUUAUUUGCUACUUUUGAAUCUUACUUCCCCCACAAAAUUUAAUGGAAUGAGCCUCUUCAGACCAAGUUCAUUUGAAGUCUUACCAUUAUCACCCUUCAGUUCCUAGCAUGUUUAGUUAAAAAGUGCAGUCGCUUUUGGAACUUCAUGGUUUUCUGGAGAUAGUUAAUUGAUAAUGCUUUGUCUGCCUGUUUUUGUUCCCUGAUAACAUCACUAUGAAUGGGCAAAUCACAGCGGUCAACUCCAGGUAUAUGUGGCCACUGAUCUAGCCAAAACUGUCUAUUCCUUUCCCCUCCAACCACUAUUUGGGGGGUCUCAGCAGUACAGGUUCACUGUUCAUCCCUCUGUCACCAAAUGGUGUGACAAGACCAUUUUCCUCCUCCCACCCUGUCCCAGGAAUUGUCCUGAGAUAACACAUUGAUGUGUCCUCAUUCAGGGAUCAUUUGCUGAUCAUCAUGAGCUCAUCUUCCAUGUGACAGAGAGAUGGCUUCUCAGGGAAUAGCUUUACAGUCAAAGUCCAGGGUCCCAACUACACUCUCCGGACCCUGAAUUGUCAGGACCAUAGGCUACACUGUCAUUGUAGGAGCCCUUUUCCAAAUAGAUGAUUCAGCACCUACUCAUACUAUUGUUUGACUGUACGUCUUUAUUCCUGAUCUCAGACUCUUACACAAAACCAUCCACCAGGUUUCAUGCAUCCCUGCUAUCUUUAAGUGGACACAACAAGAGGUUUUGAGUUGGUGUAGAGGCUGGUACCUG
Bubalus bubalis (water buffalo) is the source of this 2516-nucleotide long non-coding RNA. RefSeq lists it as uncharacterized. NCBI's taxonomy places the organism in Eukaryota, Metazoa, Chordata, Mammalia, Artiodactyla, Bovidae. The transcript is spliced from 5 exons. The record is from RefSeq and is a predicted model, not a curated record.